RNAcentral lists this long non-coding RNA (270 nucleotides) under Brassica napus (rape). RNAcentral describes it as "long non-coding RNA (BNAP_LNC019249)". Lineage: Eukaryota; Viridiplantae; Streptophyta; Magnoliopsida; Brassicales; Brassicaceae. The record is from RNAcentral.
UCUAUGGGACACUUUCUCAUAUUAGAUUUACCAAGAUAGCCUCCAACUAAGAUAAAGGUGUCUCUUGUUAGUCCAUCCAACUAACCAAACUGAUAUAACCUAUUUACCUUUUUAAAAAGAAAUAAAACAUUUCUUCUUCUAAUAAUCUUAUCUCUAUCUUCACAAAAUCAAUUAUCGUGUAAAGACUCAGAGAGAUGAACUCUAAUUUUUUUCUCCCUAGACAUCUUAUAGAUCCAGAAAUCGAACUCCGAAAUUGAAUCCAAAUCAAAC